RNAcentral lists this microRNA precursor (76 nucleotides) under Oreochromis niloticus (Nile tilapia). RNAcentral describes it as "microRNA oni-mir-10938 precursor". The record is from miRBase by way of RNAcentral. Lineage: Eukaryota; Metazoa; Chordata; Actinopteri; Cichliformes; Cichlidae.
UCUGUUUGUGUCUGUUUUCAGAUAUGAGUCUGGAUAGCAGACUCAUAUCUGUGAGCAUUUACAACCACCUUUGAUA